This 162-nucleotide ribosomal RNA is filed under the name Taraxacum suasorium. RNAcentral describes it as "5.8S ribosomal RNA". It matches the Rfam family "5.8S ribosomal RNA". From Rfam's summary of the family: 5.8S ribosomal RNA (5.8S rRNA) is a component of the large subunit of the eukaryotic ribosome. It is transcribed by RNA polymerase I as part of the 45S precursor that also contains 18S and 28S rRNA. Functionally, it is thought that 5.8S rRNA may be involved in ribosome translocation. The record is from RNAcentral. Lineage: Eukaryota; Viridiplantae; Streptophyta; Magnoliopsida; Asterales; Asteraceae.
AAACGACUCUCGGCAACGGAUAUCUCGGCUCACGCAUCGAUGAAGAACGUAGCAAAAUGCGAUACUUGGUGUGAAUUGCAGAAUCCCGUGAACCAUCGAGUUUUUGAACGCAAGUUGCCCCCGAAGCCAUCCGGUUGAGGGCACGCCUGCCUGGGCGUCACG